GACGCUGGCGGCGCGCUUAACACAUGCAAGUCGAGCGAUGAAACUUUAACAGAACCCUUCGGGGCGAAGAUAAAGUGGAUUAGCGGCGGACGGGUGAGUAACACGUGAGUAACCUGCCUUAGACAUUGGGAUAGCCUCGGGAAACCGGGAUUAAUACCAAAUAAAAUCAUAAUGACACAUGUCAUAACGAUCAAAACUCCGGUGGUCUAAGAUGGACUCGCGUCCCAUUAGCUAGUUGGUAGAGUAAAAGCCUACCAAGGCGACGAUGGGUAGCCGGCCUGAGAGGGUGAACGGCCACAUUGGAACUGAGAAACGGUCCAAACUCCUACGGGAGGCAGCAGUGGGGAAUAUUGCACAAUGGAGGGAACUCUGAUGCAGCGACGCCGCGUGAACGAAGAAGGCUUUCGAGUCGUAAAGUUCUUUUAUAUGGGAAGAUAAUGACGGUACCAUAAGAAAAAGCCCCGGCUAACUACGUGCCAGCAGCCGCGGUAAUACGUAGGGGGCUAGCGUUGUCCGGAAUCACUGGGCGUAAAGGGUUCGCAGGCGGAAAUGCAAGUCAGAUGUAAAAGGCAGUAGCUUAACUACUGUAAGCAUUUGAAACUGCAUAUCUUGAGAAGAGUAGAGGUAAGUGGAAUUUUUAGUGUAGCGGUGAAAUGCGUAGAUAUUAAAAAGAAUACCGGUGGCGAAGGCGACUUACUGGGCUCAUUCUGACGCUGAGGAACGAAAGCGUGGGUAGCAAACAGGAUUAGAUACCCUGGUAGUCCACGCUGUAAACGAUGAGUGCUAGGUGUCGGCGAAUGUCGGUGCCGCAGUUAACACAAUAAGCACUCCGCCU
This 835-nucleotide ribosomal RNA is filed under the name uncultured bacterium. RNAcentral's name for it is "bacterial SSU rRNA". It matches the Rfam family "Bacterial small subunit ribosomal RNA", at positions 32 to 874 of the family's 1533-position model. The record is from RNAcentral.